AAUAAGGUAAGCUAAAUUUAAGCUAUUGGGCUCAUGCCCCAAAAAUGAUUGAUUCUCUUAUUA
This 63-nucleotide transfer RNA is filed under the name Whitmania acranulata. Its description in RNAcentral is "tRNA-Met". The record is from RNAcentral. Lineage: Eukaryota; Metazoa; Annelida; Clitellata; Hirudinida; Haemopidae.